RNAcentral lists this ribosomal RNA (497 nucleotides) under uncultured bacterium. RNAcentral's name for it is "partial 16S ribosomal RNA". It matches the Rfam family "Bacterial small subunit ribosomal RNA", at positions 28 to 507 of the family's 1533-position model. The record is from RNAcentral.
GAUGAACGCUGGCGGCGUGCCUAAUACAUGCAAGUCGAGCGAACAGACGAGGAGCUUGCUCCUCUGACGUUAGCGGCGGACGGGUGAGUAACACGUGGAUAACCUACCUAUAAGACUGGGAUAACUUCGGGAAACCGGAGCUAAUACCGGAUAAUAUAUUGAACCGCAUGGUUCAAUAGUGAAAGACGGUUUUGCUGUCACUUAUAGAUGGAUCCGCGCCGCAUUAGCUAGUUGGUAAGGUAACGGCUUACCAAGGCGACGAUGCGUAGCCGACCUGAGAGGGAGAUCGACCACACUGGAACUGAGACACGGUCCAGACUCCUACGGGAGGCAGCAGUAGGGAAUCUUACGCAAUGGGCGAAAGCCUGACGGAGCAACGCCGCGUGAGUGAUGAAGGUCUUCGGAUCGUAAAACUCUGUUAUUAGGGAAGAACAAAUGUGUAAGUAACUAUGCACGUCUUGACGGUACCUAAUCAGAAAGCCACGGCUAACUACGUG